RNAcentral lists this ribosomal RNA (603 nucleotides) under uncultured fungus. Its description in RNAcentral is "eukaryotic LSU rRNA". It matches the Rfam family "Eukaryotic large subunit ribosomal RNA", at positions 23 to 641 of the family's 3401-position model. The record is from RNAcentral. Lineage: Eukaryota; Fungi.
ACCCGCUGAACUUAAGCAUAUCAAUAAGCGGAGGAAAAGAAACCAACAGGGAUUGCCUUAGUAACGGCGAGUGAAGCGGCAACAGCUCAAAUUUGAAAUCUGGCCUCUUUGGGGUCCGAGUUGUAAUUUGCAGAGGGCGCUUUGGCGUUGGCAGCGGUCCAAGUUCCUUGGAACAGGACGUCACAGAGGGUGAGAAUCCCGUACGUGGUCGCUAGCCUUCGCCGUGUAAAGCCCCUUCGACGAGUCGAGUUGUUUGGGAAUGCAGCUCUAAAUGGGAGGUAAAUUUCUUCUAAAGCUAAAUACUGGCCAGAGACCGAUAGCGCACAAGUAGAGUGAUCGAAAGAUGAAAAGCACUUUGGAAAGAGAGUCAAGCAGCACGUGAAAUUGUUGAAAGGGAAGCGCUUGCAGCCAGACUUGCCUGUAGUUGCUCAUCCGGGCUUUUGCCCGGUGCACUCUUCUGCGGGCAGGCCAGCAUCAGUUUGGGCGGUUGGAUAAAGGUCUCUGUCAUGUACCUCUCUUCGGGGAGGCCUUAUAGGGGAGACGACAUGCAACCAGCCCAGACUGAGGUCCGCGCAUUUGCUAGGAUGCUGGCGUAAUGGCUGU